CUUGUAGCAAGUAGUUUGUAAUUGAAUAAAUGAGGUAUGCCACUUUCUUUUCCUGUUGCAUUUUCAAAGAAAAACUGUGGAUGCUCCUGGAUGACUUUUAUGUAUUUGGGAAAGAGAUAAUGACAAACAUGAGUCUAGGACUUGAAGUCGCCUGUGCUUUCCUCCUUAAAGUGUUGCUGUCCCUCCCUUUAAGAGGGGAGGCUAGUUCUCUCCCUUUGAAUCUCCACUGAUUUUGACUCACCACGCC
Molecule: long non-coding RNA, 247 nt
Filed under: Bos mutus (wild yak)
Lineage: Eukaryota; Metazoa; Chordata; Mammalia; Artiodactyla; Bovidae
Description: lncRNA (ENSBMUG00000019480.1)
Source: RNAcentral